This 701-nucleotide long non-coding RNA is filed under the name Vulpes vulpes (red fox). RNAcentral's name for it is "lncRNA (ENSVVUG00000025492.1)". Lineage: Eukaryota; Metazoa; Chordata; Mammalia; Carnivora; Canidae. The record is from RNAcentral.
UUAAAAGACUGGCUUCUACAAUGUUCUGGGAGUGAAUGUCAGCACUGUGGAGUUCCAUCACCUGCCAAAUUUUUAAAAAGAGCACCAGAAUAUGGUCCAGAAAACUGUUGACUAGUACAUUAAUUUGUAGGGCUAUUGUACCCCAGGCAUAGGUAUAGAUUUUUUAUUAUGAACUAUAAUAACAAUGACAUUUAAUCAUAUCUUCAUUUACAUUCUGGCUCAGCUUCUGGAAACAACAUCCAUCCCACUUUCACGAUAUUUUGACUACAAUUGAUUAUUGGCACCAUUAUCAAUAUAAACGGUGACCGAAGGAGUCUAUCAGAUGCACCUAAUAAAGUUAAAUGCACUAAAACAUGGAUAUCUCAGAUGACUGAAUUCUUGAACAGCUAAUUAAGUGUGUCAAAUGUUGAAGUUCUAAACUAUCUUCGGAUCAGACACUCAUAUAAAAUUGGAAGCUAAAAUGUCUUUGAUGUUCCCUUUGAUCCUGAAUUAAAUAUAAAGAUUCAGUGGAGAGUUGAAGUAUGCCGAAGAUUUAUCACAACCAACGGGAAACUGGGGAAAUAAAUUCAGUUUACUUGUGUUUACAGAAAGAUUUCAUCUGCUUUUGCAAAUUCACUGGUCAUGAUGAGGACAUUAAGAGCCCAACUGUUACCCAAGAAAUUUUGUGAGUAUCUGCAAUAAAAUAUGCACAUAUAAAAGCA